GCCGGAUUAGCUCAGUUGGUAGAGCAGUGGUUUUGUAAACCAAAGGUCGCGGGUUCGACUCCUGCAUCCGGCACCA
RNAcentral lists this transfer RNA (76 nucleotides) under Rhodospirillaceae bacterium. RNAcentral's name for it is "tRNA-Thr". It matches the Rfam family "tRNA". From Rfam's summary of the family: Transfer RNA (tRNA) molecules are approximately 80 nucleotides in length. The record is from RNAcentral. Lineage: Bacteria; Pseudomonadati; Pseudomonadota; Alphaproteobacteria; Rhodospirillales; Rhodospirillaceae.